CUGCUUCAAGAGCAUACCCAUGUUGUUUCAUUAGUUUUGCAGCUUCUUCUUGUCGACCUUCUCUUUUCAGUAAGUCUGCAGUUUGGUGCAAGCAUCCACGAGACUUCAGAAACUCAAGCUGAUCCUCUAUGUCAAGUUUUGAGAGGACCUGCAUCAUUUCCUCAAUUCUGUUCACACUUAAGUACUUUGCAGCUGCUUCCAAAUACAACUGGUUUGCUGUACAUGAGAGUUUGGAUACCAUUUGUCCUCUUGCAUUUAACAUCUCUUCAUAUCUUUCAACUGC
RNAcentral lists this long non-coding RNA (283 nucleotides) under Gallus gallus (chicken). Lineage: Eukaryota; Metazoa; Chordata; Aves; Galliformes; Phasianidae. The record is from RNAcentral.